GGCUUUAAAGGACCACUAUAGUGCCAGGAAAACAUACUUGUUUUCCUGGCACUAUAGUGCCCUGAGGGUGCCCCCACCCUCAGGGACCCCCUCCCGCCCGGUUCUGUAAAGGGGAAAGGGGUUAAAACUUACCUUUUUCCAGCGCUGGGCGGGGAGCUCUCCUCCUUCUCUCCUCCUCCUGGGCUGAAUGUGCACGCGCGGCAAGAGCUGCGCGCGCAUUCAGCCCGUCGCAUAGGAAAGCAUUUACAAUGCUUUCCUAUGCAUGCUUGCGUGCUCUCACUGUGAAAAUCACA
Pelobates cultripes (western spadefoot toad) is the source of this 293-nucleotide non-coding RNA. The record is from the annotation of a GenBank genome assembly. NCBI's taxonomy places the organism in Eukaryota, Metazoa, Chordata, Amphibia, Anura, Pelobatidae.